UCAGCCUCUGGCUCUGGGUCCACAGUGAGCCAAAUACUAUGCUGGACAAAUGAGCUAUCUGCUCCCCGUAGUGGAGGAGAUGGGGCGGAGAGGAAGAACCAGAAGUUCUUAACUAACUGUGUCUGUACUUGGAGCAGACUGUGUUCUGUGAAGACGUCAAUGCAAGCCAUGAAGACAACAGGAAACACAGGGGCCAUAAACGGCUAUUCUCCAACAGAUUAAGAUGGGAUCCAUCUCAGAAAGAGGAAGAAAGAAGAGCCAGAGAGCCAAACAGCACACCGGAGACUAAUUUUAGGAGAUUAAAGCAGUUGAUUCAUCACAGAGUAUACCAGCUGGAAAAGUUGCACGGUUUAUUUGAGGAGGUAUUCAUAAAUCCAAAGAUUUAUGUUGUCCGUGAUGAAAACGAGACUUUGGAGUUUGGGACCAGCUUCGUUUUUUCUCACUGUGCUCUGACAGAGUCACCCUCAAAGAUCAUUUUCAUUCAUUCUAUUGAAUUGGCUUUUCUUUCAAUAAAUUCUACCAUUAUUAAUCUC
Molecule: long non-coding RNA, 533 nt
Organism: Myodes glareolus (Bank vole)
Lineage: Eukaryota; Metazoa; Chordata; Mammalia; Rodentia; Cricetidae
Source: RefSeq, a predicted model, not a curated record